UAACUUCGGGAGAAGGGGUGCUCUUUAGGGUGCAAGCCCAGAAGAGCCGCAGUGAAUAGGCCCAAGCGACUGUUUAUCAAAAACACAGGUCUCUGCUAAACCGUAAGGUGAUGUAUAGGGGCUGACGCCUGCCCGGUGCUGGAAGGUUAAGAGGAGUGGUUAGCUUCUGCGAAGCUACGAAUCGAAGCCCCAGUAAACGGCGGCCGUAACUAUAACGGUCCUAAGGUAGCGAAAUUCCUUGUCGGGUAAGUUCCGACCCGCACGAAAGGCGUAACGAUUUGGGCACUGUCUCAACGAGAGACUCGGUGAAAUCAUAGUACCUGUGAAGAUGCAGGUUACCCGCGACAGGACGGAAAGACCCCGUGGAGCUUUACUGUAGCCUGAUAUUGAAAUUCGGCACAGCUUGUACAGGAUAGGUAGGAGCCUUUGAAACGUGAGCGCUAGCUUACGUGGAGGCGUUGGUGGGAUACUACCCUAGCUGUGUUGGCUUUCUAACCCGCACCACUUAUCGUGGUGGGAGACAGUGUCAGGCGGGCAGUUUGACUGGGGCGGUCGCCUCCUAAAAGGUAACGGAGGCGCUCAAAGGUUCCCUCAGAAUGGUUGGAAAUCAUUCAUAGAGUGUAAAGGCAUAAGGGAGCUUGACUGCGAGACCUACAAGUCGAGCAGGGUCGAAAGACGGACUUAGUGAUCCGGUGGUUCCGCAUGGAAGGGCCAUCGCUCAACGGAUAAAAGCUACCCCGGGGAUAACAGGCUUAUCUCCCCCAAGAGUUCACAUCGACGGGGAGGUUUGGCACCUCGAUGUCGGCUCAUCGCAUCCUGGGGCUGUAGUCGGU
Molecule: ribosomal RNA, 833 nt
Filed under: Staphylococcus hominis
Lineage: Bacteria; Bacillati; Bacillota; Bacilli; Caryophanales; Staphylococcaceae
Description: partial 23S ribosomal RNA
Rfam family: Bacterial large subunit ribosomal RNA
Source: RNAcentral